Molecule: ribosomal RNA, 488 nt
Filed under: Physconelloides aff. ceratoceps 4 JDW-2010
Lineage: Eukaryota; Metazoa; Arthropoda; Insecta; Psocodea; Philopteridae
Description: Physconelloides ceratoceps 4 JDW-2010 partial 16S ribosomal RNA
Rfam family: Bacterial large subunit ribosomal RNA
Source: RNAcentral
GCUUCAAUUUAAUUAUUUGAGGUAUUGCCUGCUCAAUGCGAAAGUAAAUAGCCGCAGUAUUUUGACUGUGCAAAGGUAGCAUAAUAAAUUGGCCUUUAAUUGGGGUCUGGAAUGAAUGGUUAGACAAGAAUUUAACUGUCUUUAAAUUAGUUUUUUGAAAUUGAAUUGUUUGUAAAAAUGCAUACAUGAAAGAGAGGGACGAAAAGACCCUAUAGAUCUUAUAAAUGUUAAUUUAUUAAUUUUAAUAGGUUGAUUUUUUUAUUUGGGGAAAAUCUUGAAUUGGAAAAUUUCGGUUAAUUUGCAAAAGUGAAAAUGUUGAUUUUUGAUCUAUUUAUAAUAUGAAAAGAUGAAAAAGUUACCUUAGGGAUAACAGGACAAUGAUUUCUUUAAAGAUCUUAUUUAAAGAAGCGUUUGUUACCUCGAUGUUGAAUUAAGUUAUCUUAUUAGAGAAGAAAUUCUUAUAGUUGGUCUGUUCGACCAUUGAAAAC